Molecule: ribosomal RNA, 775 nt
Filed under: uncultured Neocallimastigales
Lineage: Eukaryota; Fungi; Neocallimastigomycota; Neocallimastigomycetes; Neocallimastigales
Description: partial large subunit ribosomal RNA
Rfam family: Eukaryotic large subunit ribosomal RNA
Source: RNAcentral
CAUAGCGACUAUCGUGGCAUAUCAAUAAGCGGAGGAAAAGAAACUAACUAGGAUUCCCUUAGUAACGGCGAGUGAAGCGGGAAGAGCUCAAAUUUGAAAUCUUCAAGGUUUUACCUUGACGAAUUGUAGUUUAAAGAAGUGUUUUCUGUUGGAGUUUUGGUAAAAGUUCUUUGGAAUAGGACAUCAUAGAGGGUGAGAAUCCCGUAUUUGACCAUUACUUUCCAGCUGUGUGAUACACUUUCAAAGAGUCGGAUUGUUUGGGAAUGCAGUCCAAAAUGGGUGGUAAAUUUCAUCUAAAGCUAAAUAUUGGCGAGAGACUGAUAGCGAACAAGUACCGUGAGGGAAAGAUGAAAAGAACUUUGAAAAGAGAGUUAAACAGUACGUGAAAUUGUCAAAAGGGAAGCGUUUGACACCAGUGUUGUUUAGUUGAAAAUCAAUUCAAUAAUUUUUGAUUUUAAGUAGUAUUGACUUCAUCAGCUUGCUGCUUUCUUUUCAGGAAUUAUUGAAUGCACUUUUCAGUUAACAAGUCAACAUCAAUUUCUUUUGUUGUAAAAGGGUAAGAGGAAGGUGGCUUACGCUUCGGCGUAAGUGUUUAUAGCCUUUUACCUCUGCAAUCGGAGAGAUUGAGGACAGCAGCGUAGACUCUUCGGGGUUAGAUACACUUGUGCUAAGUUAUAGCUUUUUAUAGACAACAUGUUGACUAUAUUUAGUCUUGUAACUUACUCGCUUAUGUAAUUUUACCUACGCUUAGGAUGUUGACGAGACUGUCGAUCUC